Raphanus sativus (radish) is the source of this 993-nucleotide long non-coding RNA. RefSeq lists it as uncharacterized. Lineage: Eukaryota; Viridiplantae; Streptophyta; Magnoliopsida; Brassicales; Brassicaceae. The transcript has 5 exons. The record is from RefSeq and is a predicted model, not a curated record.
AAUACAAAUUGAUAACCCUGUCUCUUUGACUUUCGAGAAUAAGAUUCCUCAGAAAAAAAAAACAUUUGUCUCUCUCAGACUCUCAGUCUCUCUCUCUAAAUGUUUUGAUAACAAAGAUCUGAUGAAACAUGAUCCAUCAACACAGAUCGUUGAAGAAGAUCUGAAAAGUAUCACUCAAGACAAAAUGAAGAACUGGAGUUAAAGGAUCAAAAAACAUUGAUCUCUUCAGAAGUAAACGAAGAUUGGAAGAAACAUGCUUAAUAAUCACCUGAAACUGCUUUUUUAAAGAGAUAAGUCUUCCACUUUUCUCACAUCUUGCCAAACAAUUGUUUAAAAUAUAUUUCCAUUCAUAUUGAAAUGGUGGUAUCUGAUCUUUGUUUGAUCUUACUCAUUUUGUUUGAAAAUUUAAUAUAUUUACUCACGUGCCGGCUGUGCAGUAACAUUGGUUUAGGAAGAGCUUUAUUCAUGUGAAUCUAACCAAUAUCACAAAAACAACAAACCUGAGAAAAGAUAAGUUAAUGACAUAAAAGUUUUAAUGCCUACAAUGACUGUAAUAUAUUUAAUAUUUAUAAAAUCUAAACUGUUAACUAAUGUUUUCUCUUAAUUUUACAGUCAAGGUUUACAUAUUGUAUGAUGAUGAGAGCCAUGAGGCAAAGUCCAACCAAAUCCGUACAGUACACAUAUACAAAAAGUCAAGAGAUUUCAGGUUUAUUUGCUCCCAAGUGUGGAUUACUUUCACUUAGAUGUACCAAUCAGUUCUGUAAGGUUCCAGUUUUGAAAGUUGCACAAUGGAGAUAAGAAGCUAUUAAAUUUUUAUUUUGAAAGGCACAUAUUAUUUCUUGGAUGAUUCACUAAUUAGCUUGCAAAUGGAUUCUAUAACACAUGGACAUAUUGUUUUUAAGCGGCUAAUAUAAAUUAAAUUAAAAUUUAUGGUUUUGUAUAUAUGAAGAUACUAUAUAAAGUUACUAAAUACAUGUCUUUAUGCAAGUACUA